GAUGAACGCUGGCGGCGUGCCUAAUACAUGCCAGUCGAGCGAACAGACGAGGAGCUUGCUCCUCUGACGUUAGCGGCGGACGGGUGAGUAACACGUGGAUAACCUACCUAUAAGACUGGGAUAACUUCGGGAAACCGGAGCUAAUACCGGAUAAUAUAUUUAACCGCAUGGUUCAAUAGUGAAAGACGGUUUUGCUGUCACUUAUAGAUGGAUCCGCGCCGCAUUAGCUAGUUGGUAAGGUAACGGCUUACAAAGGCAACGAUGCGUAGCCGACCUGAGAGGGUGAUCGGCCACACGGGAACAGAGAGAGGGUCCAGACUCCUAAGGGAGGCAGCAGUAGGGAAUCUUCCGCAAUGGGGGAAAGCCGGACGGAGCAACGCCGAGUGAGUGAUGAAGGUCCUCGGAUCGUAAAACUCUGUUAUUAGGGAAGAACAAAUGUGUAAGUAACUAUGCACGUCUUGACGGUACCUAAUCAGAAAGCCACGGCUAACUACGUG
This 497-nucleotide ribosomal RNA is filed under the name uncultured bacterium. RNAcentral's name for it is "partial 16S ribosomal RNA". It matches the Rfam family "Bacterial small subunit ribosomal RNA", at positions 28 to 507 of the family's 1533-position model. The record is from RNAcentral.